This is a long non-coding RNA of Magnolia sinica, 267 nucleotides long. RefSeq lists it as uncharacterized. The record is from RefSeq and is a predicted model, not a curated record. The transcript has 3 exons. Lineage: Eukaryota; Viridiplantae; Streptophyta; Magnoliopsida; Magnoliales; Magnoliaceae.
GUAUAUGGACUAUGUAUUUGGGAAUGAGACUGAAGCAAGGACCUUCUCUGAAGUUCAUGGUUGGGAGACUGAGAAUGUUGAGGAGAUUGCGUUGAAGAUCUCGCCCAAUAGCAUCUGGAACCCACAAGAGGAUUACCGUCAUCACACAAGGAGCUGAUUCAGUUGUUGUUGCUGAGGAUGGAAAGGUGAAGUUGUUCCCAAUGAUCCCGUUACCCAAGGAGAAGCUUGUCGAUACUAAUGGAGCAGGUACGUGCUCGAACUUCCCUG